Molecule: long non-coding RNA, 215 nt
Filed under: Capsicum annuum
Lineage: Eukaryota; Viridiplantae; Streptophyta; Magnoliopsida; Solanales; Solanaceae
Description: long non-coding RNA (CANN_LNC003175)
Source: RNAcentral
UUGGUCAAUUUACAAUUUAGGAAUUGGUGGGAUUUGUUUUAAGGAGGGAAAUUAAAACAAGUCUUGGAGCCUUUUCAAAUUCAAGUUUUCAAGACUUUGACUUUCUUGUACUUCUCCUUAUAACAUGAACCCUUGUUUUAUGGAAAGUUGUUGGAAAGUGGUUGAGAUGUGAUUGACUAUUUGAUGAGUGAUGGUAAGUUUUUCAAGACUAACAA